Molecule: RNA transcript, 3448 nt
Organism: Cyprinus carpio (common carp)
Lineage: Eukaryota; Metazoa; Chordata; Actinopteri; Cypriniformes; Cyprinidae
Gene name: transmembrane protein 150A-like
Source: RefSeq, a predicted model, not a curated record
AAUUAUUACGACAGCUUGCAACGCAUUCUUUUUAAAUGCACGAAGAACUACAAUUACAGUGAGGCGCGAGGAGCAGCUUUAGUAAGUGCCUUAUCUUAAAGCGACAACCAAGGUUGCGUGAGGUUGGAAGCAGGGAGUAGCAGGGCUUAAGGCCUGGAUUUGGCAGCCAGAAGGAAGGACCAGCGUGGCAUCCCUCUCCUCCUCUCAUGUCCCCUCCCUGUGUGUCCUUGCAUGUCAGUGCCCCCUUGUCAUCCCCCCUGUGUCUCACCCUGCCAGCCCUCUGUGUUCCUCCCCCUCAUGCUUGGGACAGACUGGCGUCACUGUCAGACCAAUGACUGCCUGGAUCAUACUGCCUGUCAGCCUGGCUGCCUUUUCUAUCACCGGGAUAUGGAUAGUAUAUGCUAUGGCUGUAAUGAACCACCAUGUUUGUCCUGUCGAAAACUGGUCAUACAAUGUAACAUGCACAGAGGAAACAGCCAAGCCGGGCUUCCCAAAAACAUGCUGCACCCUUCAAGACAUCCCCCUCAUCAGUAAAUGUGGAUCUUUCCCUCCCGAGAGCUGUCUGUUCAGUCUCAUUGGUAAUGUGGGAGCUUUCAUGGUGGUGUUGGUGUGUCUGCUACGGUAUGCUCAGAUCAUCGAGCACAGGAACCACUGCUGGCUCAACACCAGUGGACUUGUGUCUGGAUGCACCAAUGCUGUGGGACUGGUCAUGGUGGGCAACUUCCAGGUGGACCACGCUAAAACACUUCACUAUGUAGGUGCGGGCGCCGCCUUCCCAGCAGGCAUUCUGUUCGUGUGUUUGCAGUGUUUGCUGACCUACCGGGUGGCUGUCACAGCUCUGGACUACUGGAUGGCUCAUCUGCGUGUGGCACUGGCUACUGGUGCUCUCAUCACACUGGUGCUCAGUGGGAUAUUCUUCAUCCAUGAGAGCUUUGUUUUACAACAUGCAGCAGCCAUCUGUGAGUGGGUCUUCACUGUAGUCAUCCUCGUGUUCUACGGGACUUUCACCUACGAGUUCGGCACCGUCACCACCGAGACCAUGUUGGCCGGCCUCCAGCUGAACCUCUUGCACGGACCCGGCAUCAUGAUCGGAGACGAUGUCCAAGCAGACACCCUGGUAGGCGCCACCACAAAAGGUUUGAAAUCUCCCGGAGGAAGCAGCACCUCCACCCAUCUGAACUGCACUCCUGAGAACAUCGCAAUGCUUUAAACACAUCAGCACAUGCGGUCACAUACUGCCAGGUAGGAAGCCUCACAAUAAUGCACCCUGCAUUUAAGACCACACUUGGGCUUAAAUGAGAUUAAAGUCAUUUAGAGAAACCGUCCAGUCUGGAGUCGAGGCAGUUUAAUAGGGUUUACAGGUGUGACUUUCAUUUCAGAUUUUAAGUUUCAUCUGAUAAAUUUGUUUUUUUUUUUUUUUUUUUCCUGUUAAGCCUUGCGAGAAGCUUCUGUUUGGGUUGUUUUUAGGUGAGAAGGACAGAAUGAGCAUUUGUUUUAAGGAACAGGGAUUUUAGUUCCACUUUAAGGUUGUUGUUAGCACAGAUCCAAUGGUUUGUGAGGUUAGAAUAGUUGCACUGGGCGAUGGGGUACAUUUUUACGCUGCACAAAUGGUUCAGGGGUAUCUCUUUUAGAGCCUGCUGCUGUUUGCCCACACACAUAUUGUUGCAAAUGGAUGAUUUGCACGUAACACAAUGAAUGAAUUUUGAUUUAAGUUCUUUUCACUUUUAUUUGGAAUUGCAGACUAUCGGGAUCAGAGUAUUAUCAUUUUUGUAACGUGAAUGUCUAAGAUACGGAUCAAACUAUAGCCUUUGAGCACCUUUUAUUUUGGAAUUGGAAAAAAAGUACAUUAUAUAAUUUAAAUCUAACUUAUGAAAUUACGUGUCAUUCACCCUUUUUUUGUAUUGGUGGCCUUUUUAAUGAUGCAGUGGGUAAAUGUUUUGUUAUGCUGGCUUGCUUCUGUUUUAUGCUUGCUUUUAGUCUCUGAUGAGGUGGGUUUUGUUUUUCAUUUCAAGCAGGAGGAAGUGAUGUAAGGUGACACCACCUCUAUCCUUGCCUUCCUGGCCGGGCCAUAAAAACAACUCGAAAAAUGCCACAUCUAUUCAUCGUUUUACAUUGUAAUUUUUUCUUGCAUAUCUUCGCAGAUUAUUUUGUGUAGUUACAUAGUGACAUAACUAAUCCAACUGGUUUUUUUUACAUAAGCAGCACAUCAGUUUGUUUUUUUCUGUUGCCAAAGGAUGCAUUUCAAAAUAUGUACUGUAUGCCUUUAAUUCAUUAACUUUGAUUCAUUGUUUUUUUGUGUGUGUAGCAGGACAUAUAGCCACUAAGAAAAUGACAGUACUGCAAUAUUAACAAAUUUUGAAACGAUUAUAUGAAUGAAACUGAUUGGUUUCCAGGCUGGAACCUAGGAAACCAUCUUUAAACUUUCUGAGGGUUGAGUGGUUAUGGUGGCCUUAAUGUUGCUGUAGUAUUUGUGUGAUGUAUUAUCAGGCUGUCAAUCAAAGGGUCCGUAUUGCUUUUAAAGUGACUCCAGAUUUAUUGUGCUUUAACAUUUAUAUUUUACACAAAAAUGUGCCAGGUAUUGUCUGUUUGUUUGCUGCCCUUCAAUGGGACUGAUGGAUUUCAUGCCAAUGAUUAGACUGUACAUUUAGAUGUGGUCUCUAGGCAUCAUACAUGUUUAUCUCUGUUGAUUCCACUCAUGCAAGGGAAUAGUCACAGGGCUUCACUGUACAACUGAAACCAUCCAUUAAAUAUAAUAUUAGUUGCUCAUUACAAAAUACAUUCAGCUCAAACCAAACUGCACAUAGAGGUCCAGUAACAUAACGGGUCAAGCUUAAACAAACACAAGAGGGCAUAAAAUCUUGGGUAAUAUAAAAUAUGUGCAUAUGAACCUAAAGUCAAUGUUUAUGUCAUUUCUCAUUAAUUGCCUUUUUUGCCAUAUCCUAGCAACAUUUGGUAUAAAUUACAUGCAAUAUUUGUCAAUGCAUAAUAGUGCAUCUUAUAUUAUCCGAAUAGCAGAUCAGUCAUUUAUAGGUCACCUAAGAGCAAAAUGUUUAUGUUACAAUUUGAACUGACUUGUUUUCAACACAUAAGGCUUGGUCAAAGAUUUUAAAGUCAAAAGGAAACACUGUCAGAUAUUUUCAUUGAUGUUUCUUUCUUGAUGUUACAUGGUUGAUGUUUCAGCAGUUGUCUGGAUAGAAGUUAUUUUUCUGAUGCCUUUAAAUGAUGUAAUCAAAGUAUUUUUAUCAACACAGUGCGUCUGUUAAGAACACAACAAAGACGUGAGGUUCACACUCCAAAAUCGAAAUAAAAACAUGCAGAGAAUAUUUUUCUUUUAUAAAUUACUUAUGUAAAUGAGUACGAUUUAUGUGUAAUUUCAAUGAUUUUCUUUGACAGAGGUUUAUAUUGAAUUACCAAAAUAUCUGAUGGAAAAUAAACAAGUGUAUCUGUA